GCUGGGUGUGAUGGCUCGCACCUGUAGUCCCAGCUACUUGGGAGGCUGAGGCAAAAGAAUCGCUUGAACCCAGGAAGCAGAGGUUGCAGUGAGCCGAGAUCACGCCACUGCACUCCAGCCUGGGUGACAGAGCAAGACUUCGUCUCAA
RNAcentral lists this small RNA (148 nucleotides) under Pongo abelii (Sumatran orangutan). RNAcentral's name for it is "Metazoan signal recognition particle RNA (ENSPPYG00000036544.1)". Lineage: Eukaryota; Metazoa; Chordata; Mammalia; Primates; Hominidae. The record is from Rfam by way of RNAcentral.